GUGGUCCAAUGCUGUUUUGGACUCCACUGACUUUCUUGUAUGAAUAAAAAAAGGUGAAACAUUAUUCAAAAUAUUUUCUCUUGUGUUCUGCUGAACAAGGGUCAGCAAAAAUAAGCAAGAGCACAAAAGAAACCACCGCCAGUCCUCAGGCGCUGACUGCGAGGUAGAGCGUCAGAGAGGGAGAGACUGAAAGAGAAAGAAAGACUUGGAGCCAAGUAUGAGCAGUA
Molecule: long non-coding RNA, 227 nt
Organism: Cyprinus carpio (common carp)
Lineage: Eukaryota; Metazoa; Chordata; Actinopteri; Cypriniformes; Cyprinidae
Source: Ensembl